Molecule: long non-coding RNA, 211 nt
Organism: Rana temporaria (common frog)
Lineage: Eukaryota; Metazoa; Chordata; Amphibia; Anura; Ranidae
Exons: 3
Source: RefSeq, a predicted model, not a curated record
UUUACUCAACUUGUUUGUCUUUUAUUAUAUAAGCCAACCCCGUUUUUUGUAGAGUAGACCUCCACUAAAGUCUUCCAGCCGUCUACAUUCUCAGCACCAACUGAACCACCCGAGCCCAAAGAUGUUCACCUUGAAGAAAUCCCUGUUACUCCUUUUCUUCCUUGGGACCAUCAACUUAUCUCUCUGUGAGGAAGAGAGAGAUGCCGAUGAA